GCCCCUCCUCUGCUCAGGCUCUAUUGUCUCUCUCUGUCUCAAAAUAAAUAAAAACAUUAAAAAAAUUUUUUAAAAUGCCAAGUUAUAACCACUGAAUAUAGAACUCCAUAUUUA
Long non-coding RNA from Leopardus geoffroyi (Geoffroy's cat), 114 nucleotides. RefSeq lists it as uncharacterized. The record is from RefSeq and is a predicted model, not a curated record. The transcript has 2 exons. Lineage: Eukaryota; Metazoa; Chordata; Mammalia; Carnivora; Felidae.